RNAcentral lists this long non-coding RNA (609 nucleotides) under Pseudonaja textilis. RNAcentral's name for it is "lncRNA (ENSPTXG00000002967.1)". The record is from RNAcentral. Lineage: Eukaryota; Metazoa; Chordata; Lepidosauria; Squamata; Elapidae.
CCAAUUGUAAACAUGGGAAUUAUGGCUAAAACUAUUUCUGUGUAUUUAAUAUAGUCAUCAGUAUAUAAGACCAACUUUCUUUUUUACCUUUCAUCUUAAAAGCUGAUAUUCCUUCAGGAAAUAGUGAACCUUCUACAUCUGCAAGUCCUGAAGACAAAUGGGAAGAUAAAAUUGAACAAGAUAAGUUCCACGUAAGUUACUGCAUGUAAUAGAUGGUAAUAGAUAUUUCAGUUGGUCUAUCAAAACAGUUUUUAAUUUAAAUAUCUUUUUUUAGCCAGUACCAGGAAAAGAUGUUUUGGAAAGUGGUAAGAAUAUUCCAACUCAGUAUAUGUCAGUGUCAGCAACUGCUAAAUUUCAAAACAUGAGUCAUGAGAUUCAUUGAAGUACAGUGCAGCACGAUUUUGUACUUGGAAAAGAAGCACUUGGACAAAAGACAGAAGCUUUUUUAUUUUCAAAGCAUUUCACAGUUGACAUCCAGAAGAACAAAGCAAGCAGAAUGAAAAAGCAACCAAAAUGGGUCGGUGUGUGAAAGAGGGAACUUCGCUGUUGGUCCUCCUCAAACAACAAGACGGGCAGCACCUGAAUGAAAUAAUAAAAUGUACAGAUACA